This 534-nucleotide ribosomal RNA is filed under the name Melitaea punica. Its description in RNAcentral is "partial 16S ribosomal RNA". The stretch from base 397 to 534 matches the Rfam family "Archaeal large subunit ribosomal RNA", at positions 2542 to 2680 of the family's 2987-position model. The record is from RNAcentral. Lineage: Eukaryota; Metazoa; Arthropoda; Insecta; Lepidoptera; Nymphalidae.
UCAAAAACAUGUCUUUUUGAUAAUAUUAAAGUCUAAUCUGCCCACUGAUAAUAUUAUUAAAGGGCUGCAGUAUAUUGACUGUACAAAGGUAGCAUAAUCAUUAGUCUUUUAAUUGAAGACUUGUAUGAAAGAUUUGAUGAAAUAUAUACUGUCUCUAAUUUAUUAAUAAAAUUUAAUUUUUUAGUUAAAAAGCUAAAAUAAUAUUAAAAGACGAGAAGACCCUAUAAAGUUUUAUAAUUUAUUUAUUUAAUAUUAAAUAUAUAAUUAAAUAUAAUAAUUAAUAUAAAUUAUUUUAUUGGGGUGAUAAAAAAAUUUAAUUAACUUUUUUUUUAUAAAAACAUAGAUAAGUGAAAUUAUGAUCCAUUAAUAAUGAUUAAAAGAAAAAAUUACUUUAGGGAUAACAGCGUAAUAUUUUUUUUUAGUACAAAUAAAAAAAAAAGUUUGCGACCUCGAUGUUGGAUUAAGGUAAAAUUUAAAUGCAAAAGUUUAAAAUUUUGAUCUGUUCGAUCAUUAAAAUCUUACAUGAUCUGAGCU